RNAcentral lists this ribosomal RNA (481 nucleotides) under uncultured bacterium. RNAcentral's name for it is "partial 16S ribosomal RNA". It matches the Rfam family "Bacterial small subunit ribosomal RNA", at positions 29 to 507 of the family's 1533-position model. The record is from RNAcentral.
ACGAACGCUGGCGGCGUGCUUCACACAUGCCAGUCGAACGCUGAAGCUCAGCUUGCUGGGUGGAUGAGUGGCGAACGGGUGAGUAACACGUGAGUAACCUGCCCUCUUCUUUGGGAUAACGCCCGGAAACGGGUGCUAAUACUGGAUAUUCACUGAUUCUCGCAUGGGGGUUGGUGGAAAGGUUUUUUCUGGUGGGGGAUGGGCUCGCGGCCUAUCAGCUUGUUGGUGGGGUGAUGGCCUACCAAGGCUUUGACGGGUAGCCGGCCUGAGAGGGUGACCGGUCACAUUGGGACUGAGAUACGGCCCAGACUCCUACGGGAGGCAGCAGUGGGGAAUAUUGCACAAUGGGCGAAAGCCUGAUGCAGCGACGCCGCGUGAGGGAUGGAGGCCUUCGGGUUGUAAACCUCUUUCGCUCAUGGUCAAGCCGCAGCUUUGGGUUGUGGUGAGGGUAGUGGGUAAAGAAGCGCCGGCUAACUACGUG